ACAAUGGGCUUCUAAGUCCCCUAGAGUCCCAGCUGUGUAAUUUAAGGCAAAUAUAAUUUCUGACCUACGUAAUGAUGUAUGCACAAGAAGCCUCUCUUGAAUGUAUUAAUUCAGUAAACAGUUAUGGAGUCCUUACAAUGUGCUAGUGGGACUUUGAAGAUGAAUCCAAAUUUGGAUCCUGGCCUGGAAAGGCUCAAAGCCCAAUAUGGGAGCCUGGAUACAAAUGUGAAACUUAUCUUCUUUUAUUAACCAAUCAAUCACCUCCUGCCAAAACAACAUCAGCAAAAACAACAGA
RNAcentral lists this long non-coding RNA (295 nucleotides) under Homo sapiens (human). RNAcentral describes it as "non-protein coding LINC01227:8". The record is from RNAcentral. Lineage: Eukaryota; Metazoa; Chordata; Mammalia; Primates; Hominidae.